RNAcentral lists this ribosomal RNA (233 nucleotides) under uncultured bacterium. RNAcentral's name for it is "partial 16S ribosomal RNA". It matches the Rfam family "Bacterial small subunit ribosomal RNA", at positions 355 to 578 of the family's 1533-position model. The record is from RNAcentral.
UAGGGAAUCUUCGGCAAUGGGGGCAACCCUGACCGAGCAACGCCGCGUGAGUGAAGAAGGUUUUCGGAUCGUAAAGCUCUGUUGUAAGUCAAGAACGGGUGUGAGAGUGGAAAGUUCACACUGUGACGGUAGCUUACCAGAAAGGGAUGGCUAACUACGUGCCAGCAGCCGCGGUAAUACGUAGGUCCCGAGCGUUGUCCGGAUUUAUUGGGGCGUAAAGCGAGCGCAGGCGG